RNAcentral lists this transfer RNA (84 nucleotides) under Spirochaeta sp. RNAcentral's name for it is "tRNA-Leu". It matches the Rfam family "tRNA". Rfam says of the family: Transfer RNA (tRNA) molecules are approximately 80 nucleotides in length. Their secondary structure includes four short double-helical elements and three loops (D, anti-codon, and T loops). RNAcentral also lists the same sequence under 1 other name. The record is from RNAcentral. Lineage: Bacteria; Pseudomonadati; Spirochaetota; Spirochaetia; Spirochaetales; Spirochaetaceae.
GCCCAGGUGGUGAAAUUGGUAGACACGCUAGGUUCAGGGUCUAGUGCUCUUACGGGUGUGCUGGUUCGAGUCCAGUUCUGGGCA